This 69-nucleotide antisense RNA is filed under the name Streptomyces malaysiensis. RNAcentral's name for it is "ASpks TB sRNA". It matches the Rfam family "ASpks TB sRNA". RNAcentral also lists the same sequence under 1 other name. Lineage: Bacteria; Bacillati; Actinomycetota; Actinomycetes; Kitasatosporales; Streptomycetaceae. The record is from Rfam by way of RNAcentral.
CUUCACCGACCCCAGCCACAGCGGCCGGUCGCGCUCCUGGCCGUAGGUGGCCAGGAGCGCCUCGGCCUC